Molecule: ribosomal RNA, 433 nt
Filed under: uncultured bacterium
Lineage: Bacteria
Description: partial 16S ribosomal RNA
Rfam family: Bacterial small subunit ribosomal RNA
Source: RNAcentral
AACGAACGCUGGCGGCAUGCCUAACACAUGCAAGUCGAACGAGACCUUCGGGUCUAGUGGCGCACGGGUGCGUAACGCGUGGGAACCUGCCCUUAGGUUCGGAAUAACUCCCCGAAAGAGGUGCUAAUACCGGAUAAUGUCUUCGGACCAAAGAGUUAUCGCCUUUGGAUGGGCCCGCGUUGGAUUAGCUAGUUGGUAGGGUAAAAGCCUACCAAGGCGACGAUCCAUAGCUGGUCUGAGAGGAUGAUCAGCCACACUGGGACUGAGACACGGCCCAGACUCCUACGGGAGGCAGCAGUGGGGAAUAUUGGACAAUGGGCGAAAUCCUGAUCCAGCAAUGCCGCGUGAGUGAUGAAGGCCUUAGGGUUGUAAAGCCCUUUUACCCGGGAUGAUAAUGACAGUACCGGGAGAAUAAGCUCCGGCUAACUCCGUG